This 253-nucleotide ribosomal RNA is filed under the name uncultured bacterium. Its description in RNAcentral is "partial 16S ribosomal RNA". It matches the Rfam family "Bacterial small subunit ribosomal RNA", at positions 524 to 776 of the family's 1533-position model. The record is from RNAcentral.
UACGGAGGGUGCAAGCGUUAUCCGGAUUCACUGGGUUUAAAGGGUGCGUAGGUGGGCAUGUAAGUCAGUGGUGAAAUCUCCGUGCUUAACAUGGAAACUGCCAUUGAUACUAUGUUUCUUGAAUUAUCUGGAGGUGAGCGGAAUAUGUCAUAUAGCGGUGAAAUGCUUAGAUAUGACAUAGAACACCAAUUGCGAAGGCAGCUCACUACGGAUUGAUUGACACUGAGGCACGAAAGCGUGGGGAUCAAACAGG